RNAcentral lists this ribosomal RNA (746 nucleotides) under uncultured cyanobacterium. Its description in RNAcentral is "bacterial SSU rRNA". It matches the Rfam family "Bacterial small subunit ribosomal RNA", at positions 8 to 796 of the family's 1533-position model. Lineage: Bacteria; Bacillati; Cyanobacteriota. The record is from RNAcentral.
AGAGUUUGAUCAUGGCUCAGGAUGAACGCUGGCGGUAUGCUUAACACAUGCAAGUCGAACGGACUCUUCGGAACUUAGUGGCGGACGGGUGAGUAACGCGUGAGAAUCUGCCUUAAGGAUUGGGACAACAGUGGGAAACCGCUGCUAAUACCAAAUAUGCCUUUUAGUGAAACGGGUAAAACCGCCUUAAGAUGAGCUCGCGUCUGAUUAGCUAGUUGGUGUGGUAAGAGCGCACCAAGGCAACGAUCAGUAGCUGGUCUGAGAGGACGACCAGCCACACUGGGACUGAGACACGGCCCAGACUCCUACGGGAGGCAGCAGUGAGGAAUUUUCCGCAAUGGGCGAAAGCCUGACGGAGCAAUACCGCGUGAGGGAGGAAGGUUCUUGGAUUGUAAACCUCUUUUCUCAGAGAAGAAUAAUGACGGUAUCUGAGGAAUAAGCAUCGGCUAACUCCGUGCCAGCAGCCGCGGUAAUACGGAGGAUGCAAGCGUUAUCCGGAAUGAUUGGGCGUAAAGGGUCUGUAGGUGGUUGUUCAAGUCUGCUGUUAAAGCGUCUGGCUUAACCAGAUAAAGGCGGUGGAAACUGAACGACUAGAGUGCGGUAGGGGUAGAGGGAAUUCCCAGUGUAGCGGUGAAAUGCGUAGAGAUUGGGAAGAACACCCGUGGCGAAAGCGCUCUGCUGGACUGCAACUGACAUUGAGGGACGAAAGCUAGGGGAGCGAAUGGGAUUAGAUACCCCCGUAGUCC